AGGGUUGUAGCUCAGUGGUGAAGUGCUUGCCUGGCACGUAUGAGGCCCUGGGUUUAAUCCUCAGCACCCCAU
RNAcentral lists this transfer RNA (72 nucleotides) under Urocitellus parryii (Arctic ground squirrel). RNAcentral's name for it is "Spermophilus parryii (Arctic ground squirrel) tRNA". It matches the Rfam family "tRNA". From Rfam's summary of the family: Transfer RNA (tRNA) molecules are approximately 80 nucleotides in length. Their secondary structure includes four short double-helical elements and three loops (D, anti-codon, and T loops). RNAcentral also lists the same sequence under 1 other name. Lineage: Eukaryota; Metazoa; Chordata; Mammalia; Rodentia; Sciuridae. The record is from Rfam by way of RNAcentral.